AUUGGACGCUGGCGGCAUGCUUUACACAUGCAAGUCGAACGGCAGCGCGAGCUUCGGCCUGGCGGCGAGUGGCGAACGGGUGAGUAAUGCAUCGGAACGCGCCCAGUAGUGGGGGAUAGCCCGGCGAAAGCCGGAUUAAUACCGCAUACGACCUGAGGGUGAAAGCGGGGGACCGAAAGGCCUCGCGCUAUUGGAGCGGCCGAUGUCGGAUUAGCUAGUUGGUGGGGUAAAGGCUUACCAAGGCGACGAUCCGUAGCUGGUCUGAGAGGACGACCAGCCACACUGGGACUGAGACACGGCCCAGACUCCUACGGGAGGCAGCAGUGGGGAAUUUUGGACAAUGGGGGCAACCCUGAUCCAGCCAUGCCGCGUGCGGGAAGAAGGCCUUCGGGUUGUAAACCGCUUUUGUUCGGGAAGAAAUCCUCUGGGCUAAUACCCCGGGGGGAUGACGGUACCGGAAGAAUAAGCACCGGCUAACUACGUG
This 484-nucleotide ribosomal RNA is filed under the name uncultured bacterium. Its description in RNAcentral is "partial 16S ribosomal RNA". It matches the Rfam family "Bacterial small subunit ribosomal RNA", at positions 28 to 507 of the family's 1533-position model. The record is from RNAcentral.